AUUGAACGCUGGCGGCAUGCUUUACACAUGCAAGACGAACGGCAGCGCGGUCUUCGUCCUGGCGGCGAGUGUCGAACGGGUGAGUAAUGCAUCGGAACGUGCCCAGUAGUGGUGUAUAACCCGUCGAAAGCCGGAUUAAUACCGCAUACUACCUGCGGGUGCUAGCGGGGGACCGAAAGGCCUCGCGGUAUGGUAGGGACGGAUGGCUGAUUAGCUAGAUGGUGGGGUAGAGGCUUACCAAGGCUACGACGGGUAGCCGGUCUGAGAGGGUGACCGGCCACAGGGGGACUGAGAUACGGCCCAGACGCCGACGGGAGGCAGCAGUGGGGAAUAUUGCACAAUGGGCGGAAGCCUGAUGCAGCAACGCCGCGUGCGGGAUGACGGCCUUCGGGUUGUAAACCGCUUUCGCCUGUGACGAAGCGUGAGUGACGGUAAUGGGUAAAGAAGCACCGGCUAACUACGUG
Molecule: ribosomal RNA, 464 nt
Filed under: uncultured bacterium
Lineage: Bacteria
Description: partial 16S ribosomal RNA
Rfam family: Bacterial small subunit ribosomal RNA
Source: RNAcentral